CCUACGGGUGGCAGCAGUGGGGGAUAUUGCACAAUGGGGGAAACCCUGAUGCAGCGACGCCGCGUGUGGGAAGACGGUCCUCUGGAUUGUAAACCACUGUCCCCAGGGACGAAGAUGACGGUACCUGGGGAGGAAGCUCCGGCUAACUACGUGCCAGCAGCCGCGGUAAUACGUAGGGAGCGAGCGUUGUCCGGAAUUACUGGGGGAAAAGGGAGCGUAGGCGGGACUGCAAGUUGGGUGUCAAAUCUACCGGCUCAACCGGUAGCCGCACUCAAAACUGUAGUUCUUGAGUGAAGUAGAGGCAGGUGGAAUUCCUAGUGUAGCGGUGAAAUGCGUAGAUAUUAGGAGGAACACCAGUGGCGAAGGCGGCCUGCUGGGCUUUUACUGACGCUGAGGCUCGAAAGUGUGUGGAGCAAACAGGAUUAGAUACCCGUGUAGUC
Molecule: ribosomal RNA, 440 nt
Filed under: uncultured bacterium
Lineage: Bacteria
Description: partial 16S ribosomal RNA
Rfam family: Bacterial small subunit ribosomal RNA
Source: RNAcentral